UCUGCCUCUUCUUUUGCUUGAGUCAACUUUGUGGUUGCAUCUUUGAGGCGCUCUUUGGAUUCCUUGUGAGAAUCCAUUUCUGUUUUUAAUUUGUUCUGAGCCCAUUUUACUUUGAUAACAUGAGAAUUGAUUUCCUCUUUCAAUUUUUCAAUUUCUUUGUUGAGUCGAGUGGCUUCAGCAUCCUUAGUUUCAUAGAGCUGGUGCAAUCUUCC
RNAcentral lists this long non-coding RNA (212 nucleotides) under Gallus gallus (chicken). The record is from RNAcentral. Lineage: Eukaryota; Metazoa; Chordata; Aves; Galliformes; Phasianidae.